AUAGAGACUCAGAGCUGCAUAUCAAUAAGCGGAGGAAAAGAGACUAACAAGGAUUCCCUUAGUAACGGCGAGUGAAGCGGGAAGAGCUCAAAUUUGAAAUCUUCAAGGUUCUACCUUGACGAAUUGUAGUUUAAAGAAGUGUUUUCUGUUAGAUGAGUAGGCUAAAAGUUCUUUGGAAUGGGACAUCAUAGAGGGUGAGAAUCCCGUAUUUGGUUAUUCAUUCUAGCUUUGUGAUACACUUUCAAAGAGUCGGAUUGUUUAGGAAUGCAGUCCAAAAUGGGUGGUAAAUUUCAUCUAAAGCUAAAUAUUGGCGAGAGACCGAUAGCGAACAAGUACCGUGAGGGAAAGAUGAAAAGAACUUUGAAAAGAGAGUUAAACAGUACGUGAAAUUGUCAAAAGGGAAGCGUUUGACACCAGUGUUGUUUUUCCGAAAAUCAAUUACGAGUGGCUUGAUUUUGUGUUGUAUUGACCUUAUCAGCUUUCUUCACUUUUUUCGAGUCUUUCUUAAUGCACUUUUUGGUUAACAAGUCAACAUCAAUUUCUUUUGUUGUAAAAGAGUAUUCGGAAGGUGGCUUUCUUUUCGGAGAAAGUGUUUACUAGCCCUAUACUUCUACAAUUGGAGAGAUUGAGGUCUGCAGCGUAGAUCCUUCGGGGUUAGAUACAUUUGUGCUAAGUUGUAGCUUUUCAUAGACAACUUGUUGACUAUGUUUAGUCAUGCGGCUUACUCGCUUAUGCUAUUUUACCUACGCUAGGAUGUUGACGAUCAGCUGAGCGCG
This 776-nucleotide ribosomal RNA is filed under the name uncultured Neocallimastigales. Its description in RNAcentral is "partial large subunit ribosomal RNA". It matches the Rfam family "Eukaryotic large subunit ribosomal RNA", at positions 23 to 648 of the family's 3401-position model. Lineage: Eukaryota; Fungi; Neocallimastigomycota; Neocallimastigomycetes; Neocallimastigales. The record is from RNAcentral.